This is a long non-coding RNA of Prosopis cineraria, 457 nucleotides long. RefSeq lists it as uncharacterized. NCBI's taxonomy places the organism in Eukaryota, Viridiplantae, Streptophyta, Magnoliopsida, Fabales, Fabaceae. The record is from RefSeq and is a predicted model, not a curated record. The transcript has 3 exons.
CCCAUUCUCAGCGAGCCUCUCACAAGCUUCAAGUCAGAAAUAGACAUGACUCAUGGAAGAUCAUAAACGAACUACUGCGUUUCUCUGAUUAAAACGAAACAUAAACUAUUGACUAUUGUAAAUGAGCUAAUCAAGGAGAAGCCGAAGUCAAAUACUUCUGUCAACGAUGAACCUCAGCCAUUGGACACUGCUAUUCCAACUCAAUCCCUCUACAAUGCAUCUGCACUCCAUUGGAAUGAUCACUUUGUGACGGUUUGGACUUUCAUAUUUCCACAUAAAAUGAUGCAUAAACCCUCCUUGGUAAAAUUGCUAAACCUAAUUUCCAGCAUCACACACCCAUGAUCUGACAUACUUUCUUAUCUUUUACCCAUAAAUUUACUUCACACAUAUAUCAUUAGUCAUUGGACUUGACUCUUGAGCUAAAACUGAUUGUGCUUUUUCAGCAGGAUAGAAAGGA